UGAAGCCAGUGUCCAUCUAGUGGUCAUGAAGGUGGCCUUUUUGUUCACUGGAAUUAAUUUGUUCAGUGGAAGUAUAGGAAAGAGAAGAUGAAUGCAAGAAUUUGCAUUUGAGCAUUGUAGGAGUUGUACUUCCCUAUGUGAUUUAAAUCAAAUAGACCAACAAUAUCAGAAUAACUAAAGAUAGAUAAUGAGGGCUGAUGAAGAAACCAGUAAGAUGUUAAACAGCGUCAGUGCUCCUACACACAUAUUUUCUUGUAAUUUAGUCCUAAUACCCAAUUGUAUGUCUGAAUAAAUAUUUAUGUAGCUUCUUCCCCUCAGAUUUAUUAUUGUGAUAUUUGAAGGGAUUGAUGGUUUCUCAAGAAGACUAUGCUGAAGUCUUGACAAAGGAAAAAUAAAUGUGUCACAGUGAUGUGACCUAAUGGUAUACUGUAGAAUUCUGUCUCCCCAAUCCUUUUCACAUAGAUCCUAUAUCUUGAUGAUGCUGCCAACAACAAACCCUCAACUGCAUUCUCCUUCUGCUUGGAUGGUGUCCGCAAACAUGGAAAGCCCUCAAGAGUACGUGGUGACCAGGGAGUGGAAAAGGUGGACAUUACCCGAUGCAUGUUUUCUGUACGAGGAACAGGACGUGGAAGCUUCAUUGCUCACAAAAGUGUCCCCAAUCAUAGAGAGACUGUGGUGUGACGUGUGGUCAGCUGUCACCUGUAACUACUAUGAUGUACUUCAUACAAUGGAAGAAGAGCGACUGAUUGACCUCUCAGAUGAGAUGCAACUGUUUUGUGUGCAUUAUGAGUUUCUCCCAUGGCUGACCUGCUGUGCCUCCUGGGUAGCUGGAAUAGACAUCCUAUCAGAA
Micropterus dolomieu (smallmouth bass) is the source of this 850-nucleotide long non-coding RNA. RefSeq lists it as uncharacterized. The transcript is spliced from 3 exons. Lineage: Eukaryota; Metazoa; Chordata; Actinopteri; Centrarchiformes; Centrarchidae. The record is from RefSeq and is a predicted model, not a curated record.